Molecule: unclassified non-coding RNA, 333 nt
Filed under: Hevea brasiliensis (rubber tree)
Lineage: Eukaryota; Viridiplantae; Streptophyta; Magnoliopsida; Malpighiales; Euphorbiaceae
Source: RNAcentral
AAAGCCAAAUGGAUAUAGGUAGGUAGAUAGACACACACAGAAGUUUGAAAAGUUUCAAUGGUUGGCUAGAACCCAGAUCAUUAUAUAAGGAUCUAAUGCCAAAUUCUAUAAGAGCAGCAUUCAAGGCAACGGCACAACUUCCAAGUUAACACAUUGAUUCAAGCAAAUAGGAAAAAUAUCCAGCACAUUCUUCACCAAAUGGUAUUUCCGUCCACUCUCCACUACCCCAAGUUGGUAGAAUUUUACACAAGUCAUCAUGACUCUAAUACAUGCAAACUAAUAGCAAAUUAGCAAUACUGACUGUGAGUACAUGGUCUCGGUUAAAUAUUGUUU